CCUAAUACAUGCAAGUCGAGCGCAGGAAAUCGACGGAACCCUUCGGGGGGAAGUCGACGGAAUGAGCGGCGGACGGGUGAGUAACACGUAAAGAACCUGCCCUCAGGUCUGGGAUAACCACGAGAAAUCGGGGCUAAUACCGGAUGGGUCAUCGGACCGCAUGGUCCGAGGAUGAAAGGCGCUUCGGCGUCGCCUGGGGAUGGCUUUGCGGUGCAUUAGCUAGUUGGUGGGGUAAUGGCCCACCAAGGCGACGAUGCAUAGCCGACCUGAGAGGGUGAUCGGCCACACUGGGACUGAGACACGGCCCAGACUCCUACGGGAGGCAGCAGUAGGGAAUCUUCCACAAUGGACGAAAGUCUGAUGGAGCAACGCCGCGUGAACGAUGAAGGCCUUCGGGUCGUAAAGUUCUGUUGUAAGGGAAGAACAAGUGCCGCAGGCAAUGGCGGCACCUUGACGGUACCUUGCGAGAAAGCCACGGCUAACUACGUGCCAGCAGCCGCGGUAAUACGUAGGUGGCAAGCGUUGUCCGGAAUUAUUGGGCGUAAAGCGCGCGCAGGCGGCCUCUUAAGUCUGAUGUGAAAGCCCCCCGCUCAACCGGGGAGGGCCAUUGGAAACUGGGAGGCUUGAGUAUAGGAGAGAAAGUGGAAUUNCACGUGUAGCGGUGAAAUGCGUAGAGAUGUGGANGAACACCAGUGGCGAAGGCANUCUUUGGCUAUACUGACGCUGAGCGCGAAAC
RNAcentral lists this ribosomal RNA (736 nucleotides) under Exiguobacterium sp. B10. RNAcentral's name for it is "bacterial SSU rRNA". It matches the Rfam family "Bacterial small subunit ribosomal RNA", at positions 47 to 759 of the family's 1533-position model. Lineage: Bacteria; Bacillati; Bacillota; Bacilli; Caryophanales. The record is from RNAcentral.